GUCCUUUUGAAUUAAUUUAAGGUCUAACCUGCCCACUGAAUUUUUGAAGGGCCGCAGUAUUUUGACUGUGCAAAGGUAGCAUAAUCAUUAGUUUUUUAAUUAAAAGCUUGUAUGAAGGGUUGGACGAAGUAAAUUCUGUCUCUAUUUAAUUUAAUUUAGAAUUUAAUUUUUAAGUCAAAAAGCUUAAAUAUUAUUAAAAGACGAGAAGACCCUAUAGAUCUUUAUAUUAAAUUAAUUAAAUUUAUUUAAGAAUUUUUUAUUUUUUAAUAAAUUUAAUAUUUUAUUGGGGUAAUAAAAAGAUUUAUUUAAUUCUUUUUUUAUUUUUACAUUAAUGUAUGAUUAUAUGAUCCAAUUUUAUUGAUUAAAAGAUUAAGUUACCUUAGGGAUAACAGCGUAAUUUUUUUAAAGAGUUCAUAUCGAUAAAAAAGUUUGCGACCUCGAUGUUGGAUUAAAAAUUAUCUUAGGUGCAGAAGUUUAAGAUUUUGGUCUGUUCGACCAUUAAAUUUUU
This 508-nucleotide ribosomal RNA is filed under the name Ilybiosoma pandurus. Its description in RNAcentral is "partial 16S ribosomal RNA". The stretch from base 385 to 508 matches the Rfam family "Bacterial large subunit ribosomal RNA", at positions 2473 to 2597 of the family's 2925-position model. The record is from RNAcentral. Lineage: Eukaryota; Metazoa; Arthropoda; Insecta; Coleoptera; Dytiscidae.